Molecule: ribosomal RNA, 345 nt
Filed under: uncultured bacterium
Lineage: Bacteria
Description: bacterial SSU rRNA
Rfam family: Bacterial small subunit ribosomal RNA
Source: RNAcentral
CGCUAAUACCUCAUAAUGCAGCGGAUCGCAUGGAUAGUGUUGUAAAGGUUUACCGCCUUGGGAUAGGCUUGCGUCUGAUUAGCUAGUUGGUGUGGUAACGGCACACCAAGGCUACGAUCAGUAACUGGUCUGAGAGGAUGAUCAGUCACACUGGAACUGAGACACGGUCCAGACUCCUACGGGAGGCAGCAGUGAGGAAUAUUGGGCAAUGCUCGAAAGAGUGACCCAGCAACGCGCGUGGAGGAUGAAGGUAUUCUAUAUCGUAAACUCCUGUGAGAGCAGACGAAAGACAGAUUAUUAAUCUGGAUGGCUGUAUGCUCAGAGGAAGCCCCGGCUAACUACGUG